RNAcentral lists this ribosomal RNA (450 nucleotides) under Gardnerella vaginalis. RNAcentral's name for it is "bacterial SSU rRNA". It matches the Rfam family "Bacterial small subunit ribosomal RNA", at positions 115 to 576 of the family's 1533-position model. Lineage: Bacteria; Bacillati; Actinomycetota; Actinomycetes; Bifidobacteriales; Bifidobacteriaceae. The record is from RNAcentral.
GCGUGACCAACCUGCCCCAUGCUCCAGAAUAGCUCUUGGAAACGGGUGGUAAUGCUGGAUGCUCCAACUUGACGCAUGUCUUGUUGGGAAAGUGUUUAGUGGCAUGGGAUGGGGUCGCGUCCUAUCAGCUUGUAGGCGGGGUAAUGGCCCACCUAGGCUUCGACGGGUAGCCGGCCUGAGAGGGCGGACGGCCACAUUGGGACUGAGAUACGGCCCAGACUCCUACGGGAGGCAGCAGUGGGGAAUAUUGCGCAAUGGGGGAAACCCUGACGCAGCGACGCCGCGUGCGGGAUGAAGGCCUUCGGGUUGUAAACCGCUUUUGAUUGGGAGCAAGCCUUUUGGGUGAGUGUACCUUUCGAAUAAGCGCCGGCUAACUACGUGCCAGCAGCCGCGGUAAUACGUAGGGCGCAAGCGUUAUCCGGAAUUAUUGGGCGUAAAGAGCUUGUAGGC